UGGGGAAUAUUGGACAAUGGGCGAAAGCCUGAUCCAGCCAUGCCGCGUGUGUGAAGAAGGUCUUCGGAUUGUAAAGCACUUUAAGUUGGGAGGAAGGGCAGUAAGCGAAUACCUUGCUGUUUUGACGUUACCGACAGAAUAAGCACCGGCUAACUCUGUGCCAGCAGCCGCGGUAAUACAGAGGGUGCAAGCGUUAAUCGGAAUUACUGGGCGUAAAGCGCGCGUAGGUGGUUCGUUAAGUUGAAUGUGAAAGCCCCGGGCUCAACCUGGGAACUGCAUCCAAAACUGGCGAGCUAGAGGAGGGCAGAGGGUGGUGGAAUUUCCUGUGUAGCGGUGAAAUGCGUAGGUAUAGGAAGGAACACCAGUGGCGAAGGCGACCACCUGGGCUCAUACUGACACUGAGGUGCGAAAGAGUGGGGAGCAAACAGG
Molecule: ribosomal RNA, 429 nt
Filed under: Pseudomonadota bacterium
Lineage: Bacteria; Pseudomonadati; Pseudomonadota
Description: Proteobacteria bacterium partial 16S ribosomal RNA
Rfam family: Bacterial small subunit ribosomal RNA
Source: RNAcentral